UACGAAGGGGGCUAGCGUUGCUCGGAAUCACUGGGCGUAAAGCGCACGUAGGCGGCUUUCUAAGUCAGGGGUGAAAUCCUGGAGCUCAACUCCAGAACUGCCCUUGAUACUGGCGAUCUCGAGUUCGGGAGAGGUGAGUGGAACUGCGAGUGUAGAGGUGAAAUUCGUAGAUAUUCGCAAGAACACCAGUGGCGAAGGCGGCUCACUGGCCCGAUACUGACGCUGAGGUGCGAAAGCGUGGGGAGCAAACAGG
RNAcentral lists this ribosomal RNA (253 nucleotides) under uncultured bacterium. Its description in RNAcentral is "partial 16S ribosomal RNA". It matches the Rfam family "Bacterial small subunit ribosomal RNA", at positions 524 to 776 of the family's 1533-position model. The record is from RNAcentral.